RNAcentral lists this unclassified non-coding RNA (2331 nucleotides) under Hevea brasiliensis (rubber tree). The record is from RNAcentral. Lineage: Eukaryota; Viridiplantae; Streptophyta; Magnoliopsida; Malpighiales; Euphorbiaceae.
GCCAACAAAUAUUUGCUUAUUCAAUCUACUGAAUUUUAUUACAAAUUGCAACUCCUUCCAUAAAUUUAAAUUACAUGAAGAAGAGUAUAAGCAAUUAUUUGAGAAAUAUAUAUACAUGCAAUACACAACAAAAUUCUUAGAUAAGUUCCAGCAUCUGGUGAGAAGAAAUAUAUUAUAAUUGCAUCACCAAGCAAUUUAUGUAUCACCCAAAAAGGAGAAAAAAAAAAAUAAAGCAGAAAAUACAGCAGAUAAUCGAGAAGCUAUGAUGAGGAAGCUUUACUAGAAGAGGAAUUGCCAUAGAUGUAAGAACCAAAUCCCCAGAAUGUUGUGAUCAAAGAGAGAAUCUUGAAACCGCUCAUGGGGUCGUGCAGCAAAAUAACAGCGGCAAUGCUUGUGAGAGGUACCCUCACUGCAUUGAGAACACCAGCCAGUACAGUAGAAGCCAAAUAAAGCACAGCAGUGCCUCCCAGUAAUCCCAACUGAAAAGUAAUUGUACCCCAGACAAGAACCAGGAUAUAUGAAACUUCACCACCUUCAAAAUUUUUAGCCUCAGAUUUCAUCCCUUGAAAAUCUUUAUUCACAAUGACCCCAAUGGUGGUAAAUACGAAACCGAAGAAAGAAACCAUGACCUGCUGCUCCAAUACAACAUGGAAGGAUCUUUUCCCCAACAAUUUAAUGAAAACUAGCUCUGAAAGAGCAAAGAUGAGCCCAUGGAGAGCAGAUCCCAAGAUAUCCCAUAUAAAACCCAUAAUAUACUGAUGGUCACUGACAUAGUCAUAUCUGUCAGAAUCUGAAUCCAAUGCAAUUAUGGUUAUAGCAACUGUAAUAAUCACAAUAGCAUUUAUCAUUGAAGCAUUCAGUUUGUUUUUCACAAUAAAAUAUCCACACAGAGCAGAAAACACCAGGGAUGAUGAAGCCAGAAGAGAGGCAGUUGAUGCUGGGAGAUAAGCAUAUGCGUAUGCAUACAUCAGGUUGUCAGCAGCGCUUAAGAAACCCAACACAAUAUAAGAGAGAAUGAGUUUUAGGGUCAGAGGAGUUGGAAAUGUUUUACAAAAGAAGUAAGUGGGCAAUAAAAUUAAAGCAGUUAAAGGCCACCCAGCAACUGCCACCCAUGAAAUAAUCCACUUGCUUGUACCCCCAUUUGCAUAAUAAACACGUGAAAGUAGACUUGAGGCAGGAAACGCCACAAGCAUUGCUCCAACACUCGAAAGUAGAAGAAUCCACUGUGAGAUUGGCUUUCUUUUGUGUGCUUCCAAAGCCUGAGUCUUCCAGUUAGACAUUUUGUCACGCAUUGAAAUAGAAGGUCGCGCUGAUUCCUUCUCCAUUCUUUCAUCUGAGUAAGAACAAUUGGAAGCAAUACUAUUGCAGUCAACUGCAUUCUCCUUAUCAUUAUCUUCAGUUAAAAAAAACAGAACCUUUGUAUAUCCAAAUUGAUCAAAUGUUACGAAAUUAAAAUUUUGCACGUAGGCACAUGUGCGAGCGAGUGCUUUUUUACGGGUUCUGCUUCUGAAUUUAUAUCCCUUUUACUUUCAUCAUUCAAAUCCAACUGGAAUUAUCUAUAUAAGGAGCAUUCAUUCAUUGACGAGAAAUUGAGAAUGAAUGAUGAACAAAUCACAGCCUAGAAAAUUAUGUCAGGUUCUAUUUGGAUGAGAAUUUAAAAAAUGAAUGGAAUUCAUUUCAGUAUUGAAAUGAAAUUUGAUGAGUGUGGAUGAAAAUCUGCUUGAUAAUGAAUUUGAAAUACUUACUAAGAAGGUGUAAAAGCAUUUUGAUUUCCUCCUCUUAACAAGUCUAAAUCUUUAUGUAAGCAAAUUUCAACUGAAAAAUCAAACUUAAAAUCCCUAGAUAUCAACUUUCGUAAUAAUAUGCAAAUGAAACCAGCUGGAUGGAAGGAUUUUAAGCAAAAAAAAAAUUUAGAUGUGAUUUUAGUUUAAUUAUUUGAAUGAGAAUUGCUAUUGCUUGAAGGAGCCAGUUAUGUGCAGAAUUAAAUAAACAUAUUUGAAAAGAAUGAUAAAUUCAAAGAUACUUACAAGAAAAGGGCAUUCAAAAUCCCAAAACAUGAUGAUGCUUUACCCAACAAAAUUCCAUCCAAAACCCAGUAAUCACACUCAAAAUUAGCUUAAAAAAACUCCCAAGAAGAAAAAGCAGCUUAAAAGGAAAACCCAGAUAGUAAAAUGCAUAAUUAAGGCUAAUUCAGUGUAAUGAAUAAGGAAAAAAGAGAAUUAAAAGGAACAAACCAGCCACUAAAAGCACCUCUACCUCGUUCUUGUCCAUUAUUCCAGAAAAUGGGUAUUUUGUGAGAGUGGGAAACUUUUUGCUCUUACCCAACUUUAG